AACGAACGCUGGCGGCGUGCUUAACACAUGCAAGUCGAACGCGAAAGGGGUCUUCGGACCCCCGGUAGAGUGGCGCACGGGUGAGUAACGCGUAGAUAAUCUACCCCUAUAUUUGGGAUAACAACUCGAAAGGGUUGCUAAUACCGGAUACACUUAUUGAGAUGCAAGUUUUAAUGAGGAAAGGUGACCUCUCCAUGGAAGUUACUGUAUAGGGAUGAGUCUGCGUACCAUUAGCUAGUAGGUAGGGUAAAGGCCUACCUAGGCGACGAUGGUUAGCGGGUCUGAGAGGAUGAUCCGCCACACUGGAACUGGAACACGGACCAGACUCCUACGGGUGGCAG
Molecule: ribosomal RNA, 341 nt
Filed under: uncultured Pseudomonadota bacterium
Lineage: Bacteria; Pseudomonadati; Pseudomonadota
Description: bacterial SSU rRNA
Rfam family: Bacterial small subunit ribosomal RNA
Source: RNAcentral